UUGACCUCAGAUCAGGUAGGACUACCCGCUGAACUUAAGCAUAUCAAUAAGCGGAGGAAAAGAAACUAACAAGGAUUCCCCUAGUAACUGCGAGUGAAGCGGGAAAAGCUCCAAUUUAAAAUCUGGCGGUCUUGCGGCCGUCCGAGUGUAAUCUGGAGAAGCGUCUAUCCGUGUCGCGUCAUCAAGGUGAGAGUCUCGUCGUUUACACAGACUACGAUGCUUUUGUGAUGCGCUCUCUACGAGUCGAGUUGUUGGAAUGCGCUCAACAUUGGUGGGGGAUUCCAUCUAAGUAACUAAUGGUCAAGAUCGAUAA
This 313-nucleotide ribosomal RNA is filed under the name uncultured Piloderma. RNAcentral's name for it is "eukaryotic LSU rRNA". It matches the Rfam family "Eukaryotic large subunit ribosomal RNA", at positions 1 to 340 of the family's 3401-position model. The record is from RNAcentral. Lineage: Eukaryota; Fungi; Basidiomycota; Agaricomycetes; Atheliales; Atheliaceae.